GAUGAACGCUGGCGGCGUGCUUAACACAUGCAAGUCGAACGAGAAGUGGAGACGGAAACCUUCGGGCGGAAGACUUUAUUUCGAGUGGCGGACGGGUGAGUAACGCGUGGGUAACCUGCCUCAUACAGGGGGAUAACAGUUGGAAACGACUGUUAAUACCGCAUAAGACCACAGCACCGCAUGGUGCGGGGGUAAAAACUCCGGUGGUAUGAGAUGGACCCGCGUUCGAUUAGCCAGUUGGCGGGGUAACGGCCCACCAAAGCGACGAUCGAUAGCCGAUCUGAGAGGAUGACCGGACACAUUGGGACUGAGACACGGCCCAAACUCCUACGGGAGGCAGCAGUGGGGAAUAUUGCACAAUGGGGGAAACCCUGAUGCAGCGACGCCGCGUGAGUGAAGAAGUAUUUCGGUAUGUAAAGCUCUAUCAGCAGGGAAGAAAAUGACGGUACCUGAGUAAGAAGCCCCGGCUAACUACGU
This 477-nucleotide ribosomal RNA is filed under the name uncultured bacterium. Its description in RNAcentral is "partial 16S ribosomal RNA". It matches the Rfam family "Bacterial small subunit ribosomal RNA", at positions 28 to 506 of the family's 1533-position model. The record is from RNAcentral.